RNAcentral lists this ribosomal RNA (485 nucleotides) under uncultured bacterium. RNAcentral's name for it is "partial 16S ribosomal RNA". It matches the Rfam family "Bacterial small subunit ribosomal RNA", at positions 28 to 507 of the family's 1533-position model. The record is from RNAcentral.
GAUGAACGCUGGCGGCGUGCUUAACACAUGCAAGUCGAACGGAAAGGCUCCUGCUUGCAGGGGUACUCGAGUGGCGAACGGGUGAGUAACACGUGGGUGAUCCGCCCUGCACUUCGGGAUAAGCCUGGGAAACUGGGACUAAUACCGGAUAGGACCACAUUAUGGAUGGUGUGGUGGAAAGUUCUUCGGUGUGGGAUGAGCUUGCGGCGUAUCAGCUGGUUGGUGGGGUAAUGGCCUACCAAGGCGUCGACGGGUAGCCGGCCUGAUCGGGGGAUCGGCCACCUUGGAGCUUGUACGCCCUCCAUAGGCCUGGGAGACGCCCCAGUCUCCAACGGUAGGCAGCGGUCGGAAGUAUUACACAGUGAGCCCGAGCGUGAUGCGGCGACGCUGCGUUGGUAAUGACGUCCUUCGGGUUGUAAACUCCUUUCGCUAGGGACGAAGCGCUAGUGACGGUACCUGGAGAAGAAGCACCGGCUAACUACGUG